UGGGGAAUAUUGGACAAUGGGCGAAAGCCUGAUCCAGCCAUGCCGCGUGUGUGAAGAAGGUCUUCGGAUUGUAAAGCACUUUAAGUUGGGAGGAAGGGCAUUAACCUAAUACGUUAGUGUUUUGACGUUACCGACAGAAUAAGCACCGGCUAACUCUGUGCCAGCAGCCGCGGUAAUACAGAGGGUGCAAGCGUUAAUCGGAAUUACUGGGCGUAAAGCGCGCGUAGGUGGUUUGUUAAGUUGGAUGUGAAAUCCCCGGGCUCAACCUGGGAACUGCAUUCAAAACUGACUGACUAGAGUAUGGUAGAGGGUGGUGGAAUUUCCUGUGUAGCGGUGAAAUGCGUAGAUAUAGGAAGGAACACCAGUGGCGAAGGCGACCACCUGGACUAAUACUGACACUGAGGUUCGAAAGCGUGGGGAGCAAACA
Molecule: ribosomal RNA, 427 nt
Filed under: uncultured bacterium
Lineage: Bacteria
Description: partial 16S ribosomal RNA
Rfam family: Bacterial small subunit ribosomal RNA
Source: RNAcentral